Suricata suricatta (meerkat) is the source of this 134-nucleotide small nucleolar RNA. NCBI's taxonomy places the organism in Eukaryota, Metazoa, Chordata, Mammalia, Carnivora, Herpestidae. The record is from Ensembl.
GAUGCCGGGCCUGCCGGCACCACGGACGCAGCUCCUCGGCUGCGCCUGGGACCUUGGGGCGGAGAGGAAGCGGCUAUUUCUACGCUCAGUGCUCAGAACAGUGGGCACUAAGAAUGGUUUGUAGCCGAACAGGC